Molecule: long non-coding RNA, 1149 nt
Filed under: Mytilus galloprovincialis (Mediterranean mussel)
Lineage: Eukaryota; Metazoa; Mollusca; Bivalvia; Mytilida; Mytilidae
Source: RNAcentral
AUCUGAUAGCAUUCCACAGCAGUUAUUAGCAGUUUAUAAAACCAUAUUAGGAUGUAAAACUUAGCAGUUGGCAUGAAUAUUCAUUAUUGACAGCUGUUAUUAUAGCAGUUCUCAUGAAUAUUCAUUAUUUGAUAGCUGUUAUUAUAGCAGUUCUCAUGAAUAUUCAGAUCUCAUUUAAAUUUUUCGUUAAAAAUAACUGCCAAAGAACUGUGAAGGCUAAAUAAACUGCUAAGAAACAGCUAUGGAAUGCUAUUGGAAUGCCUUUAUGCAAAUUAAUCAUUGCCUUAUAUUUGGUAAGCGUGAAUGCUAAUGACGCUAAUAAACUGCCAAAUAACUGCUGUCAAGUGGGAACUGUGAAUGCUAAUUAACUGCUAAAGAACUGCAGUUCACUUUGACUUGGGUUGAGGCACUUGUCGCAGAAAAAAAUCCUAUAGACUUAGGGGUCGACCAUUUGAUAUUCUGGGGGAGGGGGCAGGUGGAUUUGUUUUUGAUCGGUUAUUUAUUUUUGUAAUCUAAGAGGACAAAUUAUUCAUUUUCUGCACUAGUGAAGCAAGAUUUUUCAUUAAAGCAAGGGACUGAUUAUUCAUUUUCACAACUGUUUUUAUGAUAUUCGAAAAACAUACAAUUUUCAAAUGAUUUUUUUAUUAUAAACAACAUAUUUGUGUUUCCUUUAAAUUUUUAUUUUGAUAUUUUUUUUUUUUGCAUACUGAAUGCUAUAAAUUUUUAUUUUGACAUUUUUUUUUGCAUGCCGAAUGCUAUAAAUUUUUAUUUUGACAUUUUUUUUGCAUGCUGAAUUGAUAUGCACGCAGUUGCGUGUUGGCAUAUAGGGAGCUAUGCGCCUGAAUACAAUUUAAUUAAAUAUAUUAAAUAACUUGGAAUCCUCCCCUUUUAUAAGUAGAGACAAUCCAUAACCUCAGAAAUAUUAAUCUUAAAUUUAUAUAAAUGAAAAGUAAGCUUCCAUAAAUAAAAUUCAACAAUGUUUCUUAAAAUUGGUAAAAGUGGUAUAGUCAUACCCCAACAUGUUGACCAUAGAUAGACAAACAAUUCACUUGCAUUCGAUUCGCAUUUGAACUAUGUGUUUGUUAAUGUAAACCGUUUCAAAUGUGAAUUAAACUAAUUCAAAUUAGUUAAUGUCAAUCCAAUUCAAAU